UUGCUCUAAUAUAUUUAAAUCCAUACAUUUUGAUAGUGAAAGGGUUCAAGGUGUAGGUGCAAAGAAGCCUGAACAUAAUAGGUUAAUGACACCAGCUCUGAGGUACAAAAUCAGUUGCUUGAGAGUGCAAGUCUCUAAACCAUUAAUUCUAAUUCUGCAGUCCAUUCUAAUUCUACAGUCAACCAUUCUACAGACCAUUCUACAGAAUUCUACAGAAACCAUUCUAAUUCUACAGUCAACCUUGGGAGCUGCUGUGAGGCUCUUUGGGUAAAGCCAAUCACUUUUUCAAUCACCAAAAGGAUUUUUCAGAAGCACUCUAGAACAUAUAAAUGAGGGAAAAGACUUGGUGAUUCAAAUUGGAUUGAAGAGAUGUCACCCCUACAGAAGAAAUGACCAGAGCUUGAGAGUCUUCCUAUGGCUAUGACUAAGUCCAACAAGAGCUAGCUUCAUAUCUUCUGCUGAUUCAGAAUACAUACUUGGACAUUGAUUUUAUUUCUGAACUUCUUCUUGCUUCUUACUCCUCAAGAUAAAGUUCUCCACAGGGACAGAACCAAUGGGAUAUAUGUAUAUAUUAAAGGGAGAUUAUUAGUGAGAAUUGGCUCAUGUGAUUACAAGGCGAAGUCCCAUAAUCGACUGUCUGCAAGUUGGGGAAAGAAAAGAGUGGCUCACUCCAAGUCCAAAUGCUUCAAAACCAGGGAAGCCAACAGCACAACCUUUAGUCUGCUGCUGAAGGCCCAAGAGCCUAGGGAAGCCACUAGUGCAAGUCGCAGAGUCCAAAGACUGAAGAACCUGGAGUCUGAUGUUCAAGGGCAGGAGAAGUGGAAGCAAGCAUCCACCAUGGGAAAAGGAAGGAAGCCAGGAGACUUGGCAAGCAAUACUAUCCCAUCUUCUUCCACCUGCUCUGUUCUAGCUGGCUGGCGACCCAUUGGAUGAUGCCCACCCACGUUGAGGGUGGGUCUUCUUCUCCCAGUCCACCACCUCAAAUGUCAAUAUUCUCUGGCAUGGUCUCACAUACACACCCAGAAACAACACAUUGCCAACCAUCUAGGCAUCCCUCAGUUCAAUCAAGUUGACACUUAAUAUUAAACGUCACACCAAUUUACCUGAUAUUUGUAAGCCUACUUUUUGGAAUACUUAUUUUGUUCUCUUGAGCUAUGUAAUUAUUUUUAAGCCAACACCUCAUUAUUUUG
This is a non-coding RNA of Macaca mulatta (Rhesus monkey), 1190 nucleotides long. NCBI's taxonomy places the organism in Eukaryota, Metazoa, Chordata, Mammalia, Primates, Cercopithecidae. The record is from RefSeq and is a predicted model, not a curated record.